GAUAACCGCUGACCAGAAUGCUUUACCACCAUGCAAGUCAAUGAUUAAGUAUAGCUUGCUAUACAAGGUCAUGCGGACGGGUGAGUAACGUGUAAAGAACUUACCUUAUAGACUGGGAUAACAGAUAGAAAUGUCUGAUAAUACUAGAUACUAUUACACUGUGGCAUCACAGAGUAAUGAAAGAAUACGCUAUAAGAGAGCUUUGCAUCCUAUUAGCUAGUUGGUAAGGUAAAGGCUUACCAAGGCGAUGAUAGGUAGCCGGCCUGAGAGGGUGGACGGCCACAAGGGGACUGAGAUACGGCCCUUACUCCUACGGGAGGCAGCAGUGGGGAAUAUUGGACAAUGGAGGAAACUCUGAUCCAGCAAUUCUGUGUGUGUGAAGAAGGUCUUCGGAUUGUAAAACACUUUUAGUUGGGAAGAAACAAAUGACGGUACCAACAGAAGAAGCGCGGUA
RNAcentral lists this ribosomal RNA (454 nucleotides) under Fusobacteria bacterium oral taxon A71. Its description in RNAcentral is "bacterial SSU rRNA". It matches the Rfam family "Bacterial small subunit ribosomal RNA", at positions 28 to 497 of the family's 1533-position model. The record is from RNAcentral. Lineage: Bacteria; Fusobacteriati; Fusobacteriota.